CCUACGAGAGGCAGCAGUGGGGAAUAUUGGGCAAUGGGCGCAAGCCUGACCCAGCAACGCCGCGUGAAGGAAGAAGGCUUUCGGGUUGUAAACUUCUUUUCUGAGGGACGAAGAAAGUGACGGUACCUCAGGAAUAAGCCACGGCUAACAACGUGCCAGCAGCCGCGGUAAUACGUCGGUGGCAAGCUUUAUCCGGAUUUAUUGGGUGUAAAGGGCGUGUAGGCGGGAAAGCAAGUGAGAUGUGAAAACUCAGGGCACAACCCUGAGCAUGCAGUUGAAACUGUUUUUCUUGAGUGCUGGUGAGGCAAGCGGAAUUCCGUGUGUAGCGGUGAAAUGCGUAGAUAUA
This 346-nucleotide ribosomal RNA is filed under the name uncultured bacterium. RNAcentral's name for it is "partial 16S ribosomal RNA". It matches the Rfam family "Bacterial small subunit ribosomal RNA", at positions 338 to 698 of the family's 1533-position model. The record is from RNAcentral.